AUGAAGGGUCCUGAAACAGCAGCGCCUCAUAUCUCUCCCAACCUCACAAUGCUUCAAUCCACAACUCUUGGAUCAUACAAUUUAGGUUCUCAGUGGUUGUGGUGGGCUUAGCUGGAGGCUUAUGGGUGUGUGCAGCUCGUUAUCAUCGUGAUGCAUGUGUGUGGAUCCGUAAACCUGUGGGGAUGAUAAUUUAUGUUUAUUGGU
Molecule: long non-coding RNA, 204 nt
Filed under: Helianthus annuus (common sunflower)
Lineage: Eukaryota; Viridiplantae; Streptophyta; Magnoliopsida; Asterales; Asteraceae
Description: sRNA HanXRQr2_Chr10g0445111
Source: RNAcentral